Molecule: small nuclear RNA, 310 nt
Filed under: Erinaceus europaeus (western European hedgehog)
Lineage: Eukaryota; Metazoa; Chordata; Mammalia; Eulipotyphla; Erinaceidae
Description: 7SK RNA (ENSEEUG00000019891.1)
Rfam family: 7SK RNA
About the family: 7SK was discovered as an abundant small nuclear RNA in the mid-70s but a possible function has only recently been suggested. Two independent studies have found that 7SK RNA binds the CDK9/cyclin T complex (known as elongation factor P-TEFb).
Source: Rfam by way of RNAcentral
AAAAGAGAGAGCAAUCUGACUGUGACAUCUGUCACCCCAUUGAUCACCAGGGUUGAUUCGGCUGAUCUGGCUGGCUAGGCGGGUAUCCCCUUCCUCCCUCACCACUCCAUGUGUGUCCCUCCCAAAGCUGCACACUCGGUCAAAGAGGACAGCCUUCCCUGAACAGAGUGACCAGUCUUCAGUUGAGGGUAUAUGAGUAGCUGCGCUCCUCUGCUAGAACCUCCAAACAAGCUCUCAAAGUCCAAAAACCUCCCUACCUAUUGUUUAUUCUCCACAGUCUGUGAUUUAUAUUCCAAUCAAAUAGAACUCU